This 223-nucleotide unclassified non-coding RNA is filed under the name plant metagenome. RNAcentral describes it as "partial contains small subunit ribosomal RNA, internal transcribed spacer 1, and 5.8S ribosomal RNA". The record is from RNAcentral.
UUUCCGUAGGUGAACCUGCGGAAGGAUCAUUGUCAUGUAAUUCAGUCCCCUUGGCUGUGUUAUAUAUAUACCCACUCUGUGUACCUUCUCCUGUUGCUUCCGCUGGGUGUGUAAUUCGCCCGGCGGAAGGGUAAAAAUAACCUCUGAGUAUUGAUGAAAUCUCUGUCUGAACCGAAUAGAAAGAAAAAUGUUAAAACUUUCAGCAACGGAUCUCUUGGUUCUC